GUACCCGUAGCUCAGUUGGAUAGAGCACAAGCCUCCGACGCUUGGUGUCGAUGGUUCAAAUCCAUUCGGGUACGCCA
RNAcentral lists this transfer RNA (77 nucleotides) under Clostridia bacterium. RNAcentral's name for it is "tRNA-Arg". It matches the Rfam family "tRNA". Rfam says of the family: Transfer RNA (tRNA) molecules are approximately 80 nucleotides in length. The record is from RNAcentral. Lineage: Bacteria; Bacillati; Bacillota; Clostridia.